RNAcentral lists this ribosomal RNA (272 nucleotides) under uncultured bacterium. RNAcentral's name for it is "partial small subunit ribosomal RNA". It matches the Rfam family "Bacterial small subunit ribosomal RNA", at positions 26 to 285 of the family's 1533-position model. The record is from RNAcentral.
AGAAUCAACGCUGGCGGCGUGCCUAACACAUGCAAGUCGAACGCGAAAGGGGCGCAAGCCCUGAGUAGAGUGGCAAACGGGUGAGUAACACGUGGGUGACCUGCCUUCGAGUGGGGGAUAACGUUCCGAAAGGAACGCUAAUACCGCAUGACAUCCUGCGUUUGGAAACGCGGACAUCAAAGCUGGGGAUCGCAAGACCUGGCGCUCGGAGAGGGGCCCGCGGCUGAUUAGCUAGUUGGUGGGGUAAUGGCUCACCAAGGCGACGAUCAGUA